Molecule: long non-coding RNA, 553 nt
Filed under: Pan troglodytes (chimpanzee)
Lineage: Eukaryota; Metazoa; Chordata; Mammalia; Primates; Hominidae
Description: lincRNA
Source: RNAcentral
GCUGCAAACAUUGGGAUCAGCCGUGACUAUCCCAUAACAUAAUAUUUCUGAUUUCAUUCUUUUCCUUUCUCCUACCAAUUUAAUCUGCAAUCACUUCAAGAGAAGUCUGUUUAAAGGAUAUUCACAUUCUGUUCACAGAGUUUGAGAGGAACUGUAUUCAAGUUGCUGAAACCAAGAAGCUACACUCAUGAGUCUCACCUAAACUCGAAUCUGAUUUAGAUGACAUCAUCCUGGACUUUGAGUUGAUGAAAUCUUGGAGGUCUUGGGAGUAAAGUAAGUGUGAUUUGCAUAUGAUGGAUAUGAAUUGUAAUGGCCAGAGCAUGGCUGUGAGAUGAAAACUCCCAUUUUAGGGAACCAAGACUGAAUUCCAUGAUUUACAUGGAUGUUUGGAAGGUGUCUGCAACUUAAUCUGUGUUCGUUUCUGAGAUGUUGGGCAACUCCUUCUUGGAAGAUGUGGUAAUGGUCUCUUUGAAAAGAAAAUAAUCAUCUGAGUUUUGGCUGAAAUAGUUGAUCAGAUUACCUAUGAAAAUGACUCUCACCCAACUACAAGAAU